Pongo abelii (Sumatran orangutan) is the source of this 148-nucleotide unclassified non-coding RNA. It matches the Rfam family "Metazoan signal recognition particle RNA". From Rfam's summary of the family: The signal recognition particle (SRP) is a universally conserved ribonucleoprotein. It is involved in the co-translational targeting of proteins to membranes. NCBI's taxonomy places the organism in Eukaryota, Metazoa, Chordata, Mammalia, Primates, Hominidae. The record is from Ensembl.
GCCGGGCAUGGUGGUGCGUGCCUGUAGUCCCAGCUACUGGGGAGGCUGAGGUGGGAGAAUCACCUGAGCCCAGGAGGUAUAGGAUGCAGUGAGUCGUAAUCAUGCCAUUGCAAUCCAGCCUGGACAACAGAGCGAGACCCUACCUCAA